Long non-coding RNA from Episyrphus balteatus (marmalade hoverfly), 623 nucleotides. RefSeq lists it as uncharacterized. The transcript has 2 exons. NCBI's taxonomy places the organism in Eukaryota, Metazoa, Arthropoda, Insecta, Diptera, Syrphidae. The record is from RefSeq and is a predicted model, not a curated record.
CAAAAAACUAACGAAUCCUUAAUAACUUUGGAAUUUUCUUCUAAUUGAUUGACAUCUCAAAUAAAAAGUACUUUCCUCGUCCUAUCCAAAAAUUAAUGCAAAUCGUGUGAUAUCCGAAGAAAAUCAGUUUGAAAACGUCGACAACUAUACCAUAUCUUCAAUAUAACGGAAAAAGGUGGAGCAGAAUUUGAAGAAGUCCUACACACCAUAGCAUCACACUAAAAGGACGACAUUUUACAAAAAGUCUUGUAAAGUGGCUUGAUUUGAAAUGUCCUCGAUUCCAACAGAAGACCGGAUGUAAGGAAUAAUAAAACAAAAAAUCGAGUGUGAUUGUAUGCGUACGGUGUAACAAGGUACGUGACUGAGGUCCAUCUAAAUGAAGUUUCAGUAAAUCCUUUUAUUCAUUCUCACACCGAACGUCGUCGUCUUUCUAUUCGGAUUGUAAAGACAACUCGGGGAUUUUGUUAAGAGUAUACGAAGAGAUAUACCUACUUGUUGAUUUCCUAUAUGUGCAGAAAUGCAGGAAAAUAUCCUUUUUUUAUUUUUCUUAAAUGUGAUUUUAUUACAACCCUCAAAACCAAGUAUGUUAAAAUCUUUUGAUUAUAAUUUAAAUUUUAAUUCGA